AACGAACGCUGGCGGCAGGCCUAACACAUGCAAGUCGAGCGCGCCCUUCGGGGUGAGCGGCGGACGGGUGAGUAACGCGUGGGAACGUGCCCUUUUCUACGGAAUAGCCUCGGGAAACUGAGAGUAAUACCGUAUACGCCCUUUGGGGGAAAGAUUUAUCGGAAAAGGAUCGGCCCGCGUUGGAUUAGGUAGUUGGUGGGGUAAUGGCCUACCAAGCCGACGAUCCAUAGCUGGUGUGAGAGGAUGAUCAGCCACACUGGGACUGAGACACGGCCCAGACUCCUACGGGAGGCAGCAGUGGGGAAUCUUAGACAAUGGGGGCAACCCUGAUCUAGCCAUGCCGCGUGAGUGAUGAAGGCCUUAGGGUUGUAAAGCUCUUUCAGCUGGGAAGAUAAUGACGGUACCAGCAGAAGAAGCCCCGGCUAACUCCGUG
This 433-nucleotide ribosomal RNA is filed under the name uncultured bacterium. Its description in RNAcentral is "partial 16S ribosomal RNA". It matches the Rfam family "Bacterial small subunit ribosomal RNA", at positions 29 to 507 of the family's 1533-position model. The record is from RNAcentral.